This 512-nucleotide ribosomal RNA is filed under the name Orthotylinae gen. Z ORTHGEN sp. Msp203. RNAcentral describes it as "partial large subunit ribosomal RNA". It matches the Rfam family "Bacterial large subunit ribosomal RNA", at positions 1810 to 2600 of the family's 2925-position model. Lineage: Eukaryota; Metazoa; Arthropoda; Insecta; Hemiptera; Miridae. The record is from RNAcentral.
AAAACAUGGUCUUUUGUUCAUUAUAUAAGGUCUGACCUGCUCAAUGAUUUUUUAAAUGGCUGCAGUAUUUUGACUGUACAAAGGUAGCAUAAUAAUUUGUCCUUUAAUUGGGGUCUGGAAUGAAUGGUUUCAUGAAAAAUAGACUUUUUUAAUUUAGUAUUGAAAAUUUAAUUUUUAAGUCAAAAAGCUUAGAUUUUUUUAUAGGACGAGAAGACCCUAUAGAACUUUAUUUUUAUAUUCUGAGUUUUUUUAGUUUAUUAAUAAAUUAUAGAUGGAUAAAAAUUUUGUUGGGGUGACAAAAAAAAUUUUAUAACUUUUUUUAUUUUUUGCAUUUAUAUAUGUAUUUUUGAUCCUUUUUUUGGAAAAAAGAAUAAGUUACCUUAGGGAUAACAGCGUUAUUAUUUUGGAGAGUUCUUAUCGAUAAAAUAGUUUGCGACCUCGAUGUUGGAUUAAAAUAAGAUAUAGGAGUAGAAUAUUAUAUUCUUGGUCUGUUCGACCUUUAAAUUUUUACA